GUUUAACGGUCAAAUGUACUCGUUUUAUUGACUGUUAAUCGCCUUUUAAAACUAAAGUUAUUUAUGGAGAAAGUAUAUUCAAAUAGUUGUGUAGUUAAUACUAGUGUAUACACAAUGAAGAGUUAAAAAUCAAUUUAAACAAAAAGAAAAACAAUGCAAGUGUCUACGACCGAUGCUGUAAAUCGAGAAACUGGAAGUCUGGAAGGGUGUCAUGUUGGAGAAAGUAGAGAACAAAGCAAAAUGUAAAGGAGGAGGGGGGAAUGCGUUGGAAAUAUGCCAAAAAUAACGGCGCAUGUAUUCAAGGAUUCAAAAGCUAAAGACUCAAACAAGCUGACUGGAGAAUCAGGUUGAUUGCAUAAAAUGCCCCAAACCUUAUCCAAGUGUAGGUGUCGAUCACAUGUUUUCACCUCAACACCAAAAGCUGGUGAAAGACUUCAGGACAAAGCGAGAAUAUGGUGCAACCGAAAUCGGUUUAAGCAGAAAAGGAAGACUGAUAAAGCGGAUUUUGUUCCAGUUCAGACAAAGACCGCUCAUGUUCCUCAAGAAGAGGACUGGGAGCAGGAGAUCGAAGAGAUCUCGCGCAGGACGGAGAAGGGGAAAGAAAUGAGCAAUAAGACACCCUAUGAUGCUGAGGAAGAGCUGGAAGUAGCGCUGUGCGAGAUGAGCCUGUACUCCGUUCCCCACGCUCCGAGACCACACCAGCAGCACUACGACCCCUCCACACAUCACACCCCUCCCGUCAAAUGGAUCCACCGCAUCUCCUGCAUCGAGACUGGCCAGUUCGCCGACGCCAAGGAGUAAACGGAUCCUUCCCAUGAUUCCAGCGGUAAAAGAGACCAGAGGGAGGGGCUGAGCCUGGGUGGGAGGAGAAAUGGCUUGUCCUUAUAGUUUAGCCAAAUUAAUUAUUGUUAGGUUAAUAAAUUAAUAACUGUUAGGUUCUAACUAUUUUAGAAAUGCAUUAAAAUUAUUCAUUUGAGUUCUAGUGUGUUUUUCUUUAUUUAAAGUAAUCAUUGGAUGUUCAUUUCUGAAUUUACUGAUUUAGAAAUACUCUGUAUUGGUCAAAAAUAUCUUUUACAUGUAGAAUUCAGUGCACUUGGCUCAGAGAUAUUUAAGUUAAGCUGUUUGGUUUUAGGGGGAACUACUUGAAGCACAGAAAAUAAAUGAUUUAAAGUGAAUUUUUUCACUUAAGGAAAGUUGUUUUGAGAUGCUUUAUCAAGUCAUUGAGAUGCUUGAUCAAGUUUUUAUCAUAUCUGUACACACACACAGAGCUGGAUGAAAUGUCUGGCGUGUAAGUCAGUGAACAAAACCUCAUACAUUAAACAUGUAGAUCCAUUAUACACACCUACUAGUUAUUACAGUAAAUACUGUACUGUUUGUUGAUAUCCAUAACUAACCAUGUAAACUAGAAUUCCUAGCCUAAUUUGAAUAAAAUGACUCCUGUAGUGGAUAAGUAGAGGAUGUGCUGUUUCUUCUGAAUCUCACCUCUGCCACUUUCUAACAAUCUGAACUGUGUUUUAUUGUAAGAGCUUUAGAAGUAGUAUGAGUUAAACUACCAGCUAUUUAAAGAGUCCAUCAACAAGUUAAGUUCUGGAUAAUAAUUUUUAAAAAGUUCUGGUCUGAACUCCAGGUGUCGCUAAGACAUCAAUCCCAAAAUAGCCCUAAUAUUAAUGUUAAAGAGCCUCUGAGCAGCAAAGCAACGAAAAUAAAGAAUUGAGCUUAAUGAAGGGAUGUGUAAGUGAAAUCUGUAAUAUAGCCCUGUUCAAGAGUACGGUAGGAAGUGAUUGAAAUUUGCAUAUCAAACCAAAAGGCAAGUGUAAAUGUUUAUGAUUAUUACUGCAACUGAUUAGCUUUUGCCUCUGUUUUUGCAAAUAAAGAAAUGUUUACACCCCCAUGUAUUAAAUACUGUUUGUAUAAAGGUGC
This is a long non-coding RNA of Ictalurus punctatus (channel catfish), 1920 nucleotides long. NCBI's taxonomy places the organism in Eukaryota, Metazoa, Chordata, Actinopteri, Siluriformes, Ictaluridae. The record is from Ensembl.